GUAAACUUAAUAGGAUCUCGGCUUUCCUGUUGCCUCACCAGCGAAACAGAAACCAGACCACGAGGGGGUCUGGAGAUGGUUAACUGGCGAUGCCUCUUGGUGGGCAGGCAGCAGGGCCUCCUCGGAGACAGCACCAGGAAAUGACUUUUGCUGGAAACUGCCACUCUGGGUUCUCCUGGCACCAGGGUGACCUGGUACCAUGGUAGCCAUCCUGUGUCCCUGAAGGAAGCCAGGAUGAGGACAAAGCCAUCCCUGGAGGUCUGCAGAGUGCCAGGUGACACUGGAGAGCAGUAAACCAUCCCAUCCCUAGGGUGGGCCUGUCUUUGAACUUCUGGACUCUCCAUGCGAUACAUUUCCGUAUUAUUUAAACUGGUUUAAAGUAUUAUGCUAACUUUGUUUCUUAUAUUAUUAUUAUUAUUAUUUUAGCUGUGUAUUUUUGUCUGCCUGCUUUUAUUUUUAUAGCCACACCAGGUUGUGGGCUCAAAGAUAGAAGACACAGACAUUCAGAGUUGCCAUGUAUAUCAAUUAGGAAUUACUUUUGGCUGCUUAAACCCUAAACAACUAAGUGAAUACUUUUCUCACUUAAUGGGGAGCCUGGAGAAGGCGAUCCAGCUGAGCUCAGCUGUUGAAGGGAGUCAUUAAGAAUCAAGGUUCUUGCUAUUUCCCUGUUCUUGCCAUCCUUGAUUUAAUUUUCUUCACAUGGUCAUCAAUGGCUGCAUCACUUCCAGCCAUCACAUCUGAGUUCCAUGCUGGGGAUGAAGGAUGUAGAAAAGGAAGUUUGUGCCAUCUGAAUCUGUGUUUUUUGUCAAGAAAACAAUACCUCUCCAGAAUCCUUACCCUAAAAUUCUUUAUAUCUGUCAUUGGCCAGAAAUGCAUGACAUGGACAUCUUAGCUAAAUUUAUGGGACUUUGGCUACCCCAAACAAACUUGGGAUUUUGUUAAAAAGGAGAGAGGGUGGGAAAUAGAUACUGGGAGGGAAAGGGGGAUCUUUUGCGGUGGGCUUGGCCAGCCCAGCUCAGCAGGGCAACUGAGACAGGAAUGAGCCCAGAGGGUGUGACCUGGCUCUGAAUGCUCUGGGGCCACGUGGGCCUCUAUUUGCUGCCUUCCCUCAAUCACCCCCAGCCCCACAGAUGCCAAAGCGGUCUCUCCACAGCACCUGCUCUGUCACAUGUCACAUUACUCCCCUGUCAGAAAUCUCCCUUUGUUCAUAGGAUGUGGUCAAAAUGCCCUGGCCCCAUAUUUCAGGUCCUUCCAGGACAGGUGACAAACCACCUCUCUGGCCUGAUUUGUCCUCUGUAUUCUGCCCCUUUUGGGUGGUGCCCUUGACUUGUUCUCAUGUAGCAUCUCCCAUCCUCUCUACCUGGUGGACCCCACCACCUUUAGGGUCACCUCAUCCCCGAAGCUGACUCUCCUGCUCUGGACCUUCCCUGGGGUUCCCUCGGCGUGAUGACUUGUGCUACUUAAAUCGAGCAUUUGUUGAGUAUCAGCCACCUCAGCAUUCACACACACACCCACGUGUUUACACGCCCAUGUCUUGCACGUCAAAGAUGCUCUGUAAGUCUUCACUUCUUCUUUCCAAACCUCCCAUCUCUGGCAACCUCCAGCCAGGGCCCUUGGAAGAUCGAUGGAUUUCAAAACACUGACUUGGGAAUAUUCUUGCAGUGAUUUAAAAAGUCCAAUGUUAAUAUUGAACUGCUGUGACAAUUGAUGGUCAUUUCUGCCAAGAUGGGCAUCCUGUCUUGCCCACCAUGAUGUCCCCAGCACACAGUGAGGUACCUGGGACUCUUAGGCACUAAUAAAACAAAAACAAGCAGGAAAAAAAAACAAAAAACUCAACAACACCCACUUGUUGCAAACGUCCUAAGGAAGCUCUCCUGAACAGCUCCCCGUGGACACCACACGCCUGAAUCCUUAUCCUCCCCUGCAGCCUGGAGGCAGCUUCUCCUCUCUCAGUCCUCGUGGGGGCGUUGAGAAGCCCAAUCCCUCAAGCCCGUUUAGAGAGACCAGCCAAGGAGUCUCCUAACUGAGGUUGCAGUUCCAGGCUUGGCACAGCAGUGUCACCAGGAACACCAGUGCCCUCGUGUUCUUGCCCAGGGGCGGCUGGGAGGCCACCGUGCUUCCCACUGCACUCUCCAGGAUGGAUGCUGAGCCACAGUGGGAAGUGAAGGGUGGGAAGGAAUGGUAUUGGGUAAGGAGCCAACAGCAUGCACCUUCCUUUUGUUUGAAGAUAAGGGACAGGGGCUUGGCAAGAUUAAGUGACUUGCCAACAUCCCACAGUAGGUUAGGAGCAGAGCUGGGGUCUGUCUGUCUCUGAAACUGUCAUCUUCAUGAUGCAAGAUAGGUGUAGGUCGCAGAGCAAGUGUGUGUGUGUGUGUGUCUGGAUGAGGGAAUUCAGACUCUGGGGACCUCCAUCCUAGGGUCUGAUGAUUGUGGCUCUGCAGACACAGCCCCUCUGGAUUUGGAACUCCUUCUCCUUGAAAAUGGACUUUAUUAGGAAGGGAUGGGAUGGGAUGGGAUGGAAAAGAAGGACUAUGUGACUUAAUAUUUUAAAAUUUUAAUUUUCAGAAUAGGCACAAAUGAUAAGAAUACAGCUCAAUUAAUUUUCCUAAAGGGGACACUCUUGUGUCUAGAACCCAGUAAGAGAAACAGCACAUUACCAGAACCCCAGCAACUCUCUUCUUGACUAUUUGUAGUCCUUAUAUCCCCCUUGCCAGGGCUGACCAUCAUCCUGAGCAAAACAAUUUGGGCUGUUUGGGUACUUUGUAUAGAUGGAACUAUAUACUAUGUAUUCACGUGUGUGAAUUCUUUGUUCAAAAUUAUACUGGUGAGGAUUAUCCACGUCAUCAUGUAAGCUGGGGUUCUUAUUGUUAUGCUGCAUAGUAUUCUACUUUACGACUAUACUUCAAUUUAUCUAUUUUACUUUGAUGGGUAUUUUGAAAAACUAGUUUUUAGCUAUGACGUAUGGUGCAGCUAUAAGCAUUUUGAACAUGUACAAAGUCCUGUUGAAUGUAUAUUGGGAGUGGAAUCUAUGGGCAACAGGAAGGUGUUUAUUUAGUUUUAGUGGGUAGGGGCAAACAUUUUCAAAGGAGUAGUAUUAAUUUCCACUCCCAUCAAGUUGCUCUGUCUUCUUGCCAACACUUGGUAUUAUCAGUGUUUUUAACUCUUUUGUUGAGUAGGUAUAUAAUGGUAUCUCAUUAUGGCUUAAUUUUCAUUUGUGUUUCCUAAUUGACUAAUAAAACUGAGCACCCUUUCAUGUA
This is a long non-coding RNA of Marmota monax (woodchuck), 3257 nucleotides long. RefSeq lists it as uncharacterized. The transcript is spliced from 2 exons. The record is from RefSeq and is a predicted model, not a curated record. Lineage: Eukaryota; Metazoa; Chordata; Mammalia; Rodentia; Sciuridae.